UGGGAAGUAUUGGGCAAUGGGCGAAAGCCUGACCCAGCAACGCCGCGUGAAGGAAGAAGGUCUUUGGAUUGUAAACUUUUGUCCUAUGGGAAGAAGGAAGUGACGGUACCAUGGGAGGAAGCCCCGGCUAACUACGUGCCAGCAGCCGCGGUAAUACGUAGGGGCGAGCGUUGUCCGGAAUUACUGGGCGUAAAGGGCGCGCAGGCGGCCGAUCAAGUUAGAUGUGAAAUACCUGGGCUUAACCUGGGAACUGCAUUUAAAACUGGUUGGCUAGGAGUGCAGGAGAGGGAAGCGGAAUUCCUAGUGUAGCGGUGAAAUGCGUAGAUAUUAGGAGGAACACCAGUGGCGAAGGCGGCUUUCUGGACUGUAACUGACGCUGAGGCGCGAAAGCGUGGGAGCGACAGAUAGAUACC
This 413-nucleotide ribosomal RNA is filed under the name uncultured bacterium. Its description in RNAcentral is "bacterial SSU rRNA". It matches the Rfam family "Bacterial small subunit ribosomal RNA", at positions 355 to 786 of the family's 1533-position model. The record is from RNAcentral.